UACGUAGGGGGCAAGCGUUGUCCGGAUUUAUUGGGCGUAAAGAGCGUGUAGGCGGCCAGGUAGGUCCGUUGUGAAAACUCGAGGCUCAACCUCGAGACGCCGAUGGAAACCAUCUGGCUAGAGUCCGGAAGAGGAGAGUGGAAUUCCUGGUGUAGCGGUGAAAUGCGCAGAUAUCAGGAAGAACACCCGUGGCUAAGGCGGCUCUCUAGUACGUGACUGACGCUGAGACGCGAAAGCGUGGGGAGCGAACAGG
This 253-nucleotide ribosomal RNA is filed under the name uncultured bacterium. RNAcentral's name for it is "partial 16S ribosomal RNA". It matches the Rfam family "Bacterial small subunit ribosomal RNA", at positions 524 to 776 of the family's 1533-position model. The record is from RNAcentral.